This 218-nucleotide unclassified non-coding RNA is filed under the name Hevea brasiliensis (rubber tree). Lineage: Eukaryota; Viridiplantae; Streptophyta; Magnoliopsida; Malpighiales; Euphorbiaceae. The record is from RNAcentral.
GGGAUAUCAAUCAAGAAUAUAUGUUACAAAGUUUGUUCUUCUUCUAACUACUUGUCGAUUCUGAGGUUAUUACAUAAAUGACCCAAUUCAGGUCGUUCCUUCAUCCACGAUGCAAAAUUCAUCUCCUCCUCUGACUUAGUACAGUAGAGGUAGGAUCUGAAAGUGAUGAGAAAAAAAUACCGCCUUAGAGCCUUAAUACCCAUAUCCAUGAGGUAAGC